This 335-nucleotide long non-coding RNA is filed under the name Androctonus crassicauda. The record is from RNAcentral. Lineage: Eukaryota; Metazoa; Arthropoda; Arachnida; Scorpiones; Buthidae.
GACCAUUGCAGUGGCCGGUCGGCAUCCUGCAUGGGAGUCGCUACAAGGACGCUCGGGCGGUGCUUGGAACAACACAGGGAGGGACAUGGAGAGGGCUGGAUUGACAACUGCCCUAUCCAUUGGGGCUUGCGAGGGUGAUAUAGAGAUGCACUGGCGGGGGGCCAGAGUGUUGAAGCGGCUAACCGGCCCAGCGCGGGCCAUGUGUGGAGAGAUGCUGGAGAUCCUUGCCCGACAGAAGGCGGAGACUUUGCUCAACGAGCGUCCCACUGCGGGGAUGCCGGACGCAUGGAGCUGCCUCCUCCGGGCGGCUGGGGACCCGGAUGGUCGUGCGCAGC